GGUAGGGGCCACGAAUUGGUGCGAGGUGAUUUAUUCCAGUGGGGAGCCGUUGCCUGUGCACUAGCUCUCUUUGCCGAUGUGUAGGGUGGCAGGGUCUCUCCUUCGCCCCCUGUCCCUGCUCCCCUCCCUUCCCAAGGUCCGCAAUGUAAUGUGUAAGCAAUAGCAAAUGUAACAGUUCAUAAAUCAAACAGUGGGUCGCAAGCCAAUCUGCAUUUCCCAAACGGAUUGAAUCCCAGCAACGAAUGUGCUCAAGAACUGGAGCCAGGCGCCUUUACCACUGGAAGCAAUGUUGAUUUUUUAAUGAUAAAAUACAUUAUGCGCGUGUUAGGGGGGCUUUGCAGAGCUCAGCCUCGCUUCGGCAGACACAGGUCUGCUUGAAUUUCGUUUUCCUUUGGCCUCCCUCUAGACUCAGUCCCCACCACCACCAAAGAAAAAGGAAAACCCUGGAGAGCAGAGCUUUGUUUAAAUGGUUUGGGUUAUUUUCCCUCCCCACAGAGGAUCUAGACCUAAAUUGAUUUUUCUGUGCACAUCUCUGUAUUCAUGAGGUCAGGCGCUGCUGUUAUGGUUUCCCUGUAGCACGAAAUGCCAGAUGCCGAGGAGAGACGGAAGAGAGAGCCCUUGCUGGGGUACGGGGGGCUUGGCAGCCUGCUGUCUACGCCGGCUUGGGCCCCGGGGACCCCCGCCAGCGGCAGCCCCUCUCCGCCCCGGGGUUCCCGGGCGCAGGUCCCGCCCGCUGCCGGCAUUCCCGCCGCCGCCCCCGCCUUCCCGGCUGCUGGACGGUGCCCAUCCGUCGAAGAAAGGUGGAAGGGAACCUCCCAGCUUUCCAUCUCACCCCUCAGAAGAAAGCUGAGGGGGCGUAAUAAGGGGACGAUUUCCAGCUCGUUAAAGGACUCGAGUUAUCUUCGCGUGAGGUUCUAUUACAAAUGGAUAAUCUCUCCGUAAUUAGCACAUCCCCCAAUUAGCCCUCCAUCGAGGAGGAUAAUAAACGGUGGCAAACCGGGGAAAAAUAGCCCAGUGGGUUGAGAAGAAGCCCUGUGGUCUUGCCCGGGUCCCUUCCCUCCCCUCCUGCCUUCCCCUGGACUCUCCUAUCUGGGGCUUCUAAUUUUCGGCUGCUCAUCCCCGGGGCGCAGACCAGCCACCGGGCCUCCCGGGCUAACCUAGCAGCACACCGGGAUUUCCUGCACAGACGGCAGGGAGUGUAGCCCCGGUCCCGCCGGCUCCGCUCCUCCUGGGCAACUGGCGAGCGAGGCACUCUCCGCCGGCAGCUCCGUGGUUUUUUUUCGGGGAACAUAAGCAGAAUGAACUCCCCCUCACCUUCCUCCCGUUCAUUCUAUAGAGCCCCUCAAUGCGCGAGGCAUUGGUUGUUCCCUUUUCUGCCCCUUCCAGGGUUAUUUCUGAAGCCUGAGAGCAAUGGUCGAUUAUAUAUAUAUAUAUAUAUUUUUUUUUCUGACCCUAGGAGCGGUUGCUCUGCCUUGCCUUGUUGUGUGGCCAAGGAAACAUGAGCCGUCCGCCAAGUCCCAGAAAGGGACUGAGUGUACUGGAUUUGCCUCCUGCCGCCUUGCACCUGUAGGGUUUGUAAGGGCUGCGGGGGAAGGCUGGGGCGUCGCUUGCCAGGCUGGUCCCACUGCCCCAGGCAGCAGCUGCUGUAGCAAGAGCUGGAAGAGGUUCAAACUUCUGAACAUCCCUUCUUAACUCCUGGGCAAACGUGAGCUGGUGAACUGAAGAGGGGGGAAAAAUGCAAUAGAAAAGCGUUUAAAUGUUGACAGAGACCACAGUAAAAUUAUCCCCUGCUUAAAAAAAAAAAAAAAAUCACACACACACACACAAAAGGCAUAAAUGCAGAUCAACAGGGAAAAAAAUCACAGUCAGAACAAAAAACAAGACAAGAGCAUUUCUAGCUGGCUGGAUAAUCGGAAGGCUUGCAGCCAUUGCGGCUCUGCCUGCCCUAAUUCCUGUCCCCAGCUCCGACUGAGCAACCGCAGCCCCGCAGUCCCCGGAGGGCCGCGGGGAGCUGGCUCCUUCCCCGGCAGCGCUGGAUGCACCCGUGCUUGGCAGGCGGCUGCUCUCCUCCUGCCUCCCCCUUUUAGCAGCCUGGAUGAGCCCUGAAGGCAGGGCUGAGCCUUGCCCCUGCCUGGGCUGCCCUCUGCCACGGCAAGACCGUGCCAGCACUGGGCUGAGGUGGUGGCGGUCGAUUCUUUUUGCUUUAAAGGGAGGAAAAAAAAAAAUAGGUCCUUUCCCAUCUGUUCAAAGGCUGUAACAGGGAGAUGGAGCUGGCCUGUGCUGGGAGAAAAAGCUUGAAUACAAACAUACAAAACUGAGGAAAACCUAGAUAUGAAUGGUAGUGAAGGCAGAGUGAUUGGUGCUUACAGAGGGAGCAGGGAGGUAUGGUAUAAAAGUAAGCUGCAGUACUCACUUCACAGGACUUUCUGGUGGCUAUGUCUGUGUAUUGGAAGAAGCAGUCAGAUACUGUUGGUCCCUGGCUCAUUUGCACAGUCUAGGGAUGAAUAGAUUGGUGACUCUUCAAGCCCACUUCCUCUUCAGGGCCCUUUUAAAAUCUGUGCAGCUGCUGUCCUGCCCAGUGAAACCCAGUAGAUUCUGUGAAGGGCUGACAACCUAAGGAGAGAGACGCCAGUUCAGCCUUCCUAUUCAUCAGGGCUGAUUCAUUAAUGAUUAGUGCCAUUAGGUCUACUACAGCAGUGCCUGAGGGCCCCAAUUAAGGGAAAGUGAGCUUGUUAAAUCCAGAAAGCCAGAUUUUCCCUCUGUUACUCCUGCCUGAUGCGGAGGUAGUGCCUCCAGGGUGGGCAGCAAGAAUAACCCUGGCUUUCUAGGUAUGCAGCCUCUGUACCUUUCCCCCUCCCUUCUUCCUCUUUUCUCUCUCUUUCACCUUAGCUGCAGAUCCUGCUUACAGAGUGCUGUAGAGUGAGGCUAGUGCAGGAGUUGGCUAGCAGGACUUGCAGGAGGAGGUGUCAAAUCAGGUUAUUUUCCUGAGCCACUUCUUUUUUCAUCACAAGUGGGUUUGGGUGGGUUUUUUUGGUUUAUUGAGAUUUUUUUGUGGCUUUUUUUUUUGGCAGGGUUGGGGGCAGGCAAAGUGAUGGGGACUGCAGAGGAGUCUGUUACAAAAUCAGAUACGAUUUUAGCUGUCUGAAAGAGUUCCUUUAGGCUACAGGCAGCUGAUGAUCAAUGGUGCUGUUGGCAAAUGUGCUUCCAGCUGGCUGCUGCCUCUCUUGAGGGACAGUUUUAACCCCAAGGCUCAUUGCAAUGGUGAUACGGCAAGGGGCUUUCAUUUGCUUUGGGCUAAGGAUCUUCUGCUGCCCAGUUCAACCAGUGAGAAGAAAAACUGGAGGUGAUGUAGGAGAGUGACAACAGCACUAUUAUUGGUGAGUUACUGGCUGUUCCUUUCCCCUCGAAUUCCCACGGUGGGUCUGUAUUAAAAGGUUUUGCUCAAAGCCCCAUACUCUUAAACUGUGGGUUUGCUAACAGAUGGACAGACUGCGCUAGCAAAGGGCUUUGCCUUUCAGGAGGUACUGAAGAAACAGGUUUAAGUGGAUCGAAUUAUCAGAAACCCAGCCUGUGGCCUGUGCCCUAGCUUUUUAGGCUUUAUUGUUUGUUUUAUUUUGUUUGUUUGUUUGUUUGCUUAUCUCCAAAGCUGAUAUAAAAGAAAGACGGAAAGAAAGAAAAAAAGAAAGAAAGCCUCCCGAAGGUCAAGGUGAGACUGACCAUCAUCUGAGUGCUGGUAUUCACCAACAGCAAUAAACCCCUGUCCCCAGGUGCUGGAAGUCUCUUCAGAAAAAACCCCACAACAUUACUGCAGGGGCAAACAACUCAUCCUGACCUUUACACAGCCAUUCUUUGGGAAAAAGUAUCACCUGAAGUCAAUAUGCAUUCUGCCUAGCUUUCUUCAGAAGAAAAAUGCCUGGAUUGAAGUGAUAACAACAAAUAAUAGGUGUUGGUGAUUUGCACUCUCUCCAACUAAAUCAGGUAUCUGGCACAUCAAUACUUAGAAGGCUUAGGAGAAGAGGAAAACAUCAAUAUUUCACUGAACACAUGAAGUCACACAGCUCCCCAGAACUCCCAGUCUCCAUUUUAAUGUCCACUGUGGCUAGUUUGUUUUGUUUUUUGUUUUGUUUUGUUUUGUUUUCUGUCAGAUGACUGAUUUCAGUUUCUCUCUGAAUCCCACCUGUGUGAAUAGCUUGUUUUUCUCCCUAGCAAGUGUUAACAAGGAACUGCAAGGGUUUUGUUCAGGCUCACCAGUCAGGCAGCCCUGAGGUGGCUGACUUCUAGGAAAAGCCACAGCAGGAACAAGCCAGAGCCAGCCUACGCACCAGACACAGCUUUUGCUGGUCUUUAGUUUAUGUUCCAGCUCCUGCUCGAGUUAAACGGAUCGCCGUUAGCAACUGUAAUACAGACAAACACAAGGAAGAACAAGCUGGACGCUUCAUUGUGGAGCUGCGCUUGGAAGUGAUGGCCCAUUGUAACGCAGACUCACCCACCACAGUGGAGCUGAGCCAGCUCAUGGCAAUUUAGGACUUGCUCCUCUCUUUUUACUCCAUGCUCUGAAGUUCCCGGUCUCAUCCUUUGUGUGAACUGGAUCAUGCAAAUGGGGGCACUGAAGUCACAGGGAAGUUGAGCAGAGUUCUGCAUGAGCACUGGCAUGAGAAGGAGCAGCAAUUAGCUCUAAACUCACUCUGCUGGCCUGUCAUUUCUGAGCUCUACCCCUGCUGCUCUAUAACUGGAAGACUUUCACUCUAGAAGAUGGGGAGAAGAACAUUUUACUCAUGCUCAUAUUAAUCAAGUCAUCUUAUGAGCUGCUGAAUCUGUGAAAUUGUAUCUCCUGUGGAGUUCAGUGGUAAUGACUGUCUCUGAUGUGGACUCUCUGGUGUCUAAUAAUACAGUUUUGUUUCUGCAGUGGAUGCACUCCCAGAAUUUUUUCUCCUCUGCCUGCCUACUUCCACAGCACAUGUAGGCUGCUGAAACCUCUGAGACUUCUAUCCCCUGUCAAGUUUGAUCAAACUCAGCUCACAGGCUCAAAAAAUUAUUUAGGAGGGACCGACUGGCACUUGCACAAGACAGUGUGAUCUCAUAAGCUUCCUUUGCUUGGGAAACUAGGCUACCAGCCUAGCAACAGGGGGAAAAAAUGCCAUCCUGCUAGAAAAAAGGACCUAAACACUGGGAGGAAAGAGGGGAGGUGGGAAAGUGAAGCUGUUUUGAAGGGAAAAAAAUAACUGCCUUGUGGAUACAGAGUUCUCAUACACUUAAAGGGCCAACCUUGGAGACACAUGCUGGAGAAAAUAUUCUCCAGGAGAUGAUAAGCUCUCUUGUGAAAAUUGGUAAGGGAGAGAAAUCACAUGGACUCAUCUCACCACCAGGCAUGCUAAAUGGAUAUCUGUAUGGUAAAGAUUGUCCCCAGUGGUAUCUGUUUCCCUCUGUGGACUAGAGGAAGCCACAGACACAGCUAGCAUGCAACUCAUGUACCUGCAGUAUCUAAAACAAGGUGGAUCCUAUCCCAAAGGGAAUGGUCUUCUUACCGCUAUGUCCUUCAGACCAAAGUUUUCCAUGGUGCUGCUGCAGGUUUUGUUACUUCAUGUACUACAUUUGUAUGUUAGAAAAGCUGCUUUGUGUCUUAAUAGCUGCAGAUGUAUGCAUGGUUUUACUGGGCAUUUAUUAGCACUUACCCUCUUUGCACUAAAACCUUUCUUGUCCUUGUACCUUAUGGAAUAAAAUUCUUUAAGUGAGCUUUAAUGAUUCUAUGAUUCUGCUUCUUUACAAAUUAGGAGCUGUCUCAUCCUGCUUUUAUUUGCUAUCACAUAAUGCUUGAGGCUGUCAAAAGUAUUAUGGUACAUACUCAUAUAAAUUGAUAUUUAAUUUCAGUAAUUAUAAUGUCACUAAUUGUAUUUUUGCACCUGUUGCAAUUACUGACAUUCAGCUCUUUAGCUCUACUUUGUUCUUUCUAGAUUUAGGCAUUCCUUACUCUUUAAUCUUCCCUGCCUAUGGUAAAUCGUAUGCACAAUGAGACUUGGAAAUGAAAGUUCAGACAUUCCCAUCAAUUGCUGUGUGCCAAAUGCAUGGGAUAGUUUAAAACUAUGUGUGUACCUACUGCAGGAUAUGCUUAAAGCGCCAUUGCCUAUUUAUAUGUCUUUUUUUAUGAGGCUUAGAGGCGAUUGUGUUAUCCAAAUAUUGCACAGUUCUUAACUACUUGUACUGGCCCAUUGCUAAAGGUUUUCCAGUUUUUAGGGGCCUUUUUUGGCUUGUGGCCUUUCACUUAAAAUUGCACCAGGGCUGCUCUGGCAGCCCCUUGCACCUGUUUUUUUCUUAGUACUCUCUUCCUCAUAGCCUUGCACUGGUGCAUUUGUUACGUUGUAUUCCCUGGAAAAGGAUUUGCUUCCUAUACCUCAGCCAUCCUCUUGUCCUCUUGCCUCUAUCUCAUUGCAUUGCUCUUGAGUUAUAUAUAAUUCAUAGUCCGCACUGAAGUUCCCACACAGUCUCCACUUGGUGCCUUCAUACCAGUGAAUUCAUAUUAGAACAAAUAUUACAUAUAAUGAGUAAAUAAUAGUAAUUUUAAUGUAGGAUAAGCAAUACCUAAUUACAGACGGGUACAAGGCUUAUCAGCCAAUUAACACGCAACUUUUGUACUUAAUUAAGCAUAAUCCAGUCAGUGCCACUGUUGUCAUCAGACAAAGAUCAUGGAAAGGCAACUUGAGCAGGCUUUAAUGAAGGGUGUAAUUUUACUAGGGAGUGGUUGUCGGUAGGACUGUGAUCCCCUGCUGCACUGGAGCAGACACCCAGGAGAGGAUGGUCACCUGAGGACUCCUGACUUCAUCUCGUCUUGGUUUGCUACAGUUUUCCUUUUAACCUUGAACUUGAUGUAUACCAUCAGCUACAAAACCCAUGAAUAAAGCUUGUGCUUUGUGUCUUUCAA
Molecule: long non-coding RNA, 6916 nt
Organism: Myiozetetes cayanensis
Lineage: Eukaryota; Metazoa; Chordata; Aves; Passeriformes; Tyrannidae
Exons: 3
Source: RefSeq, a predicted model, not a curated record